AUUGCCAUGGCAUUUAUAGGCUGUCAUAGUGCCGUAAGGAAGGUCUUCAUGCUGAUGAGCAGUGAGGGCAACUGGAGGUCACUUUUCUUUCCAUCUGCUGGUUUCAGCUGGUUUUUUUUUUUUUUUAUUUAAGCCUGCUUUUUUUUUUUUUUUUUUUGAGAUAGGGUCUCGCUCCAUUGCCCAGGCUGGAUCGCAGUGGUACAAUCAUGGCCUACUGCAGCCUUGACCUCCUGGGCUCAAGCAAUCCUCCUGCCUUAGUCUCCCAAGUACCUGGGCCCACAAGCACAUGCCACCAUGCUUGGCUAAUUUUUUAAUUUUUUGUAGAGACGGGGGUCUCACUAUGUUGCCCAGGGUGGUCUCAAACUCCUGGCUUCAAGUGAUCCUCCUUUUGCAGCCUCCCAAAAUUCUGGGGUUAUAGGGAAGAGCCACUGCACCCAGUUUGCAUCCUGCUUUGACCAGCAGGGUCAUUACCGGUGCUCAGAAAACAAAUCCGGCUGAUUUCCCACCUCAUUGGUGCCCCAAACCAUGCUUUUUGUCACCCCCUGUAGUAAUAACCAUUUUCUGUAAGCAACUGCCAUCAGCCACCUCUAAAACUGUAUCUCUUGCCUAACCAUUACGCAAACCACGGUCAAGUUUUCUCACAAUACAGGGCCAUUUUUGGUAUCUCCGAAAAGCCAAAGAAAUCGGGUAAUACUGUGCAAAAGAGAGCGGAGCGUUAGACCUCAGGAGACUCUCCAUGUUGCGCUUGAAACUCCACAAGGAAAGCAGAAGCCCUCCAACCAACGCCCACUGCAUGCACUGUUGCGGCCCAGAGGUGGGCGUGAGGUCUCUGCUGCCACUCAUCCUCAUCCACAGCCAGCCACGCUGCAGAGCCACCCAGCCAGAGACGCCUACUCUGGUCUCCAGCUAGGAUGUUGAGGACCUGUUUCGAAUGUCUUGGAAGAAGUCCUGGAAUCCUCCCAGCCCCCAGGUUCCGGGAUACAUGUGCAGAAUGUGCAGAGUUUCACUCUGGCUCCUAGGCUGGAAAGCAGUGGCACCAUCUCAGCUCUCUGCAACCUCCACUUCCCAGGUUCAAGCGAUUCUCCUGCCUCAGCCUCCCGAG
Molecule: long non-coding RNA, 1102 nt
Organism: Pan troglodytes (chimpanzee)
Lineage: Eukaryota; Metazoa; Chordata; Mammalia; Primates; Hominidae
Exons: 4
Source: RefSeq, a predicted model, not a curated record